UUGAUCAAGACCGUGUGAAGCAAAACCAAUUUAUGGGGCCAACAAGAGCUUCAUCAAAGGAGUUCAACCACAAUUCUCAAAAGCUUAACACACUCUUGAUCAAGACAGUGUGAAGCAAAACCAAUUUAUGGUGCCAACAAGAGCUUCAUCAAAGGAGUUCAACCAUAACUCUCAAAAGCUUCACACACUCUUAAUCAAGACAGUAUGAAGCAAAACCAAUUUAUGGUGCCAACAAAAACUUCAUCAAUGAAGGGCAACUACAAUUCUCAAAAGCUUCACACACUCUUGAUCAAGACAGUGUGAAGCAAAACCAAUUUAUGGUGCCAAUAAGAGCUUCAUCAAUGGAGGGCAACCACAACUCUCAAAAGCUUCACACACUCUUAAUCAAGACAAUGUGAAGCAAAACUAAUUUAUGGUGCCAACAAAAGUUUCAUCAAUGGAGGACAACUACAAAUUCCCCAAAGCUUCACACUAUCUUGAUCAAGAUAAUGUGAAGCAAAAUCAAUUCAUGAUACCCAACAAAAGCUUCAACUCCAAAGCUUCACCUACAAUGCUUCAGCUCCAAAGCUUCAGCUACAAAAGCUUUAACACAAAAGCUUCACCCACAAAAGCUU
RNAcentral lists this long non-coding RNA (614 nucleotides) under Malus domestica (apple). Its description in RNAcentral is "long non-coding RNA (MDOM_LNC009244)". The record is from RNAcentral. Lineage: Eukaryota; Viridiplantae; Streptophyta; Magnoliopsida; Rosales; Rosaceae.